RNAcentral lists this ribosomal RNA (440 nucleotides) under uncultured bacterium. RNAcentral describes it as "partial 16S ribosomal RNA". It matches the Rfam family "Bacterial small subunit ribosomal RNA", at positions 338 to 795 of the family's 1533-position model. The record is from RNAcentral.
CCUACGGGUGGCAGCAGUGGGGAAUAUUGCGCAAUGGGGGCAACCCUGACGCAGCCACGCCGCGUGAUUGAAGAAGGCCUUCGGGUUGUAAAGAUCUUUAAUCGGGGACGAAUUUUGACGGUACCCGAAGCAUAAUCUCCGGCUAACUACGUGCAAGCAGCCGCGGCAAUACGUGGGCAGCAAGCGUUAUCCGGAUUUACUGGGUGUAAGGGCGUGUAGGCGGGAAUGCAAGGCAGAAGUGAAAUCUGGGGGCUUAAACCCCAAACUGCUUUUGGAACUGCGUGUCUUGAGUGAUGGAGAGGCAGGCGGAAUGCCCAGUGUAGCGGUGAAAUGCGUAGAUAUUGGGAGGAACACCAGUGGCGAAGGCGGCCUGCUGGACAUUAACUGACGCUGAGGCGCGAAAGCGUGGGGAGCAAACAGGAUUAGAUACCCCAGUAGUC